This 1460-nucleotide ribosomal RNA is filed under the name Musa schizocarpa. RNAcentral describes it as "bacterial SSU rRNA". It matches the Rfam family "Bacterial small subunit ribosomal RNA". The record is from RNAcentral. Lineage: Eukaryota; Viridiplantae; Streptophyta; Magnoliopsida; Zingiberales; Musaceae.
AGAGUUCGAUCCUGGCUCGGGAUGAGCGGCGGCAUCUUAACACAUGCAAGUCGGACGAGAAGUGGUGUUUCGAGUGGCGGACGAGUGAGUAACGCCAGAAGAACACGCCCUUGGAGGGGAACAACAACUGGAAAUGGUUGCUAAUACCCCGUAGGUUGAGGAGCAAAGGAGGGAAUCCCAGAGGAGGGGCUUUGCGUCUAAUUAGCUAGUUGGUGAGGUAAUAGCUUACCACAGGCGAUGAUGAUCGAUGAGCUGGUCCGAGAGGAUGAUCGACCCCACUUGGGGCCGAGAGAUGCCCGGAACUCUCUGGGAGGUAGCAGUGGGGAAUUUUCCGCAAUGGGCUUAAAAGCAUGAUGGAGCAAUGGCGUGGAGGUAGAAGGCCCACGGUCGUGAACUUCUUUUCUCGGAGAAGAAACAAUGGCGGUAUCGAGGAAUAAGCAUCGGCUAACUCGUGCCGGCGGCCAUGAUAAAGGCGAAGAGGAUGCAAGCGUUAUCUAGAAUGAUUGGGCGUAAAAGCGUCAGAGGUGGCUUUUCAAGUCCGUCGUCAAAAUCGAGGGCUCAACCACGGAAAGUGUGGAAACUACCAAAAUUUGGAGUAUGGUAGAGGCAGAGGGAAUUUCGGUGGAGCGGUGAAAUGCAUAGAGAUCGGAAAGAACACCAACGGAAAAGCACUCUGUUGGACACACGACAAUCGAGAGACGAAAGCUAGGGGAGCAAAUGGGAUUAGAUACCCCGAGUAGUCCUAGCCGUAAACGAUGGAUACUAGGCGAUGUGCGCGUGUCGACCCGUGCAGUCUUUGUAGCUAACGCGUUAAGUAUCCCGCCGGGGAGUACGUUCGCAAAGAAUGAAACUCAAAGGAAUUUGGGGGGGCCCGCACAAGCGGUGGAGCAUGUGGUUUAAUUGAUGCAAAGCGAAGAACCUUACUGGGGCUUGACAUGUCGUGAAUCCUCUUGAAAGAGAGGGUGCCGCCGGGAGCAGCGGACACGGUGGUGCAUGGCUGUCAUCGGCUUGUGCCGUAAGGUGUUGGGUUAAGUCCCGCGAACGAAGCGCAACCCUCGUGUUUAGUUGCCACCAUUGAGUUUGGAACCCUGAACAUUUUUUGUGAUAAGCCGGAGGAAGGUGGGGAUGACGUCAAGUCAUCAUGCCCCUUAUGCCGGGCGACACACGUGCUACAAUGGCGGGACAAAGGGUCGUGAUCUCGCGAGGGUGAGCUAACCCCAAAAAACCCAUCCUCGUUCGGAUUGCAGGCUGCAACUUCGCUGCAUGAAGCCGGAAUCGCUAGUGUCGCCCGGUCGACCAUGGCGGUGAAUUCGUUCGGGCCUUGUACACACCGCCCGUCACACUAUGGGAGCUGGCCAUGCCCGAAGUUGUUACCUUAACCGCCAAGAGGGGAUGGGAGGCGGGGCUAGUGGACUGGAGUGAAGUCGUAACAAAGGUAGCCGUACUAGAAGGUGCUGGUU